This 614-nucleotide ribosomal RNA is filed under the name uncultured bacterium. Its description in RNAcentral is "bacterial SSU rRNA". It matches the Rfam family "Bacterial small subunit ribosomal RNA", at positions 69 to 680 of the family's 1533-position model. The record is from RNAcentral.
GUAGCAGGAAGUGCUUGCACUUCGCUGACGAGUGGCGGACGGGUGAGUAAUACUUAGGAACAUGCCUUUGGGUGGGGGAUAACUAUUGGAAACGAUAGCUAAUACCGCAUAAUGUCUACGGACCAAAGGGGGCUUCGGCUCCCGCCCAGAGAGUGGCCUAAGCGAGAUUAGCUAGUUGGUGUGGUAAAGGCUCACCAAGGCGACGAUCUCUAGCUGUUCUGAGAGGAAGAUCAGCCACACUGGAACUGAGACACGGUCCAGACUCCUACGGGAGGCAGCAGUGGGGAAUAUUGCACAAUGGGGGAAACCCUGAUGCAGCCAUGCCGCGUGUGUGAAGAAGGCCUUCGGGUUGUAAAGCACUUUCAGUAAGGAGGAAAGGGAUGUAGUUAAUAGCUGCAUUCUGUGACGUUACUUACAGAAGAAGCACCGGCUAACUUCGUGCCAGCAGCCGCGGUAAUACGAGGGGUGCAAGCGUUAAUCGGAAUUACUGGGCGUAAAGCGUUCGUAGGCGGUUGAUUAAGCAAGAUGUGAAAGCCCAGGGCUCAACCUUGGAACUGCAUUUUGAACUGGUCAACUAGAGUACUGUAGAGGGUGGUGGAAUUUCCAGUGUAGCG